RNAcentral lists this ribosomal RNA (254 nucleotides) under uncultured bacterium. Its description in RNAcentral is "partial 16S ribosomal RNA". It matches the Rfam family "Bacterial small subunit ribosomal RNA", at positions 524 to 776 of the family's 1533-position model. The record is from RNAcentral.
UACGUAGGGUGCGAGCGUUGUCCGGAAUUAUUGGGCGUAAAGAGCUCGUAGGCGGUGUGUCGCGUCCGCCGUGAAAACCUGGGGCUCAACUCUGGGCGUGCGGUCGAUACGGGCAUCACUUGAGUUCGGCAGGGGAGACUGGAAUUCCUGGUGUAGCGGUGAAAUGCGCAGAUAUCAGGAGGAACACCGGUGGCGAAGGCGGGUCUCUGGGCCGAUACUGACGCUGAGGAGCGAAAGCAUGGGUAGCGAACAGG